RNAcentral lists this ribosomal RNA (635 nucleotides) under Porolithon onkodes. RNAcentral describes it as "eukaryotic LSU rRNA". It matches the Rfam family "Eukaryotic large subunit ribosomal RNA", at positions 1264 to 1919 of the family's 3401-position model. Lineage: Eukaryota; Rhodophyta; Florideophyceae; Corallinales; Porolithaceae. The record is from RNAcentral.
GAAUCCGCUAAGGAGUGUGUAACAACUCACCUGCCGAAUGAACUAGCCCUGAAAAUGGAUGACGCUUAAGCGGGUUGCCGACACCAGACCGUUUCGAUAAGAAGCGAUCGAAAUGAGUAGGAGGGCGUGGCGGUUUUGUUGUGAAGGAUGAGACGCAAGUCUAUCUGAAACGGCCGCUAGUGCAGAUCUUGGUGGUAGUAGCAAAUAUUCAAGCGAGAUCCUUGAAGGGCGAAGCGGGGAAGGGUUCCACGCGAACAUUGAUUGGGCGUGGGUGAGUCGUUCCUAAGCCGGGUGGUAAUCGUUCUUCGAUCGGCGAAAGGGAAGCGGGUUAAAAUUCUCGCACACGGAUGUGGAGGCGGUGACGCAAAUUGAGGUGGAGACGUUAGCGGUGGCACUGGGCAGAGUUUUCUUUUCUGUUUAACCUGUGAGUGCACUCUGUGGAAUCCGAUUAUCGGGCGAAACAGGUGCUUAUGGGAAGAGCGUCGGGGCGUCCCCGGCGUCCAGUACGCCACCGAUAGCCCUUGAAAAUCCAUCUGCAAUGAAAUUUCACGCCGUGGCGUACCGAUAACCGCAUCAGGUCCCCAAGGUGAACAGCCUCUGCUCAAUAUGAACAAUGCAGGUAAGGGAAGUCGGCA